CAGAGUUAUCCAACUCCCAAACCCAUGUGAACAUAUCUCUUUGUUGCCUCGGCGCAAGCUACCCGGGACCUCGCGCCCCGGGCGGCCCGCCGGCGGACAAACCAAACUCUGUUAUCUUCGUUGAUUAUCUGAGUGUCUUAUUUAGUAAGUCA
Molecule: unclassified non-coding RNA, 152 nt
Filed under: soil metagenome
Description: partial internal transcribed spacer 1
Source: RNAcentral